UGCUGUGAAAAUCCGGGGCUCAACCCCGGACUUGCAGUGGGUACGGGCAGACUAGAGUGUGGUAGGGGAGACUGGAAUUCCUGGUGUAGCGGUGAAAUGCGCAGAUAUCAGGAGGAACACCGAUGGCGAAGGCAGGUCUCUGGGCCACUACUGACGCUGAGAAGCGAAAGCAUGGGGAGCGAACAGGAUUAGAUACCCUGGUAGUCCAUGCCGUAAACGUUGGGAACUAGGUGUGGGUCUCAUUCCACGAGAUCCGUGCCGCAGCUAACGCAUUAAGUUCCCCGCCUGGGGAGUACGGCCGCAAGGCUAAAACUCAAAGGAAUUGACGGGGGCCCGCACAAGCGGCGGAGCAUGCGGAUUAAUUCGAUGCAACGCGAAGAACCUUACCAAGGCUUGACAUAUACCGGAAACACUCAGAGAUGGGUGCCCCGCAAGGUCGGUAUACAGGUGGUGCAUGGUUGUCGUCAGCUCGUGUCGUGAGAUGUUGGGUUAAGUCCCGCAACGAGCGCAACCCUCGUUCUAUGUUGCCAGCGGAUAAUGCCGGGGACUCAUAGAAGACUGCCGGGGUCAACUCGGAGGAAGGUGGGGAUGACGUCAAAUCAUCAUGCCCCUUAUGUCUUGGGCUUCACGCAUGCUACAAUGGCCGGUACAAAGGGCUGCGAUACCGCAAGGUGGAGCGAAUCCCAAAAAACCGGUCUCAGUUCGGAUUGGGGUCUGCAAC
Molecule: ribosomal RNA, 721 nt
Filed under: uncultured bacterium
Lineage: Bacteria
Description: bacterial SSU rRNA
Rfam family: Bacterial small subunit ribosomal RNA
Source: RNAcentral